CAGAGUAUCAAUUGGAGGGCAAGUCUGGUGCCAGCAGCCGCGGUAAUUCCAGCUCCAAUAGCGUAUAUUAAAAUUGUUGCAGUUAAAAAGCUCGUAGUUGAAUUUCUGCUGCAUUGCUUUUGCUCCUUUACGAGUCUUUGCAUUGUGGCUUAUUUCGGACUUUGUUUUACAAUGUCCGGAUGUUUACUUUGAGAAAAUUAGAGUGCUCAAAGCAGGCUUUCGCCUUGAAUAGUUUAGCAUGGAAUAAUAAAGUAGGACUUUGGUUCUAUUUUGUUGGUUUUAGGUACCAAAGUAAUGGUUAAUAGGAACAGUUGGGGGCAUUCGUAUUUAACUGUCAGAGGUGAAAUUCUUAGAUUUGUUAAAGACGAACUACUGCGAAAGCAUUUGCCAAGGAUGUUUUCAUUAAUCAAGAACGAAAGUUAGGGGAUCGAAGACGAUCAGAUACCGUCGUAGUCCU
This 457-nucleotide ribosomal RNA is filed under the name Theileria ovis. Its description in RNAcentral is "SSU rRNA". It matches the Rfam family "Eukaryotic small subunit ribosomal RNA", at positions 537 to 1027 of the family's 1831-position model. The record is from RNAcentral. Lineage: Eukaryota; Apicomplexa; Aconoidasida; Piroplasmida; Theileriidae.